Molecule: small RNA, 77 nt
Filed under: Xanthomonas oryzae
Lineage: Bacteria; Pseudomonadati; Pseudomonadota; Gammaproteobacteria; Lysobacterales; Lysobacteraceae
Also listed under: 1 other name
Description: sX9 sRNA
Rfam family: Xanthomonas sRNA sX9
Source: RNAcentral
AUCUACCACUCGUACACUGCGGUUCUGAGCGCGCCGUCCGCGCCCACCUGGCAGCUGCUCGCCACGUUUUGUUGGCC